AAUUACAUGCCAUUGAUUUCUUUCCAAAUUUGCUUCUAAUACACUUUUUGACUACUCCUUGAUUUUAUUUUUUUUUUUAAUUUUUUUUCCCACUUUUCCUUUCUCCUCUCCUUCCCCUGUCCUCUCAGGCGGCAGCAGCCUCCUCCCAGGGAUGCGAGCAGCUGCAGUCCCCGUACUGGACACGCCGAGCCCCGGAGCAGUUGGGAAAUGCAUAGACCGGCGUGGUUUUUUGUUUGUUUUUUUUUCUCUUAAUAGGGAGUAGGGAUGAUCUGUGCACUGAGCCUCUUCCUAAGGGACAGCGCGCCGACGGCACUGCAAGGGGAGACGGGUAUCGCUUUCAGUCUUGCACAUCUAAUUGACGCGGCUGACGUUAAUUUGAAGCCAAGGUGACGGCAGCUUCGACGCUUCUGAUUCUGCGUUGAUUUGGCGAACUUUGGCGAAAUGCUUCAACAAAACGGGAGAAAGCGCUGCUCUGAGAAGGCCAGAGGGCUUCACCAUCGGCAGGAACCUGCACCGGCAGCCCAAAUCCCGCAGCGAUGCUGAUGAGAGCAGAUGUCCGUAGGGAUGCUGUGGAGCGCACGUGCGUGUGGAGGGAUGCAGCGUGCGGAGACCCAUCACGAGUGCUGGGAGGGCGAAGGGGACGAUCAGGUGUUUCACAGGCAGCCCUGGUGUGGCGAGCACCGGGGCUGCUUUGCUACCAGGGGCAAAAUGGAAAUAGUAAUGCUCAGAGCUGUUAUUCGUUUGAGGAUAGGGUGUGAAUGCAGAGCUCUUCAGCUGGGGAAAGGCAACCUGAAGUGGAAGAGGUGAGACCCAUCGUUUGCCACAGAUCUGCGGGACCUCGUAGCAAAAAAAUAUGGGGAAGGAGAUGAUGACAGGGAGGGAAGUUGAGAAGAAGUGGCUGUGGGAUUGUCUCUCUUGAGGCAGGUGACCCAGCUCUGUAAUGCCUCCCCCAGCUGCAAAGCUCCCCAGAAAAUUAGCUUCUUUUCAUCAUAUUUUUACUUAUAACUUUCCCCCACGUCCCCCUGGGUUGUCUUUAAUGGGCUGCAUAGGGGUUUUUUUGCUUGCUUUCUGUUUGUUGAAGAAAGAAACUUUUUCACAGGAAACAUGGGGGAAAAAAAUCCUACCUUUUUCUGGUGGAAAAAUAAGUGCCAGUUUUGUUCAACUCUAUUUCUGUGUAAAUGGGGUCGUUAAAAAGAGAGGCUGUGCCUGGGGUGUGCAGAAUCUUACCUGUUUCAUAGACAAAAAACAUCAUGACUGACAGCACGAAUUCAAUGAUUCUACUGCAUUCCAAGUCAGAGGGGAAAAUGCAGAAAUAAGAGAAAGAGCAAUGCACGCUGUCCAGGUGGAAACUGUUUUCCCAGCAUUGUAAUUUUUCCUGAGAACUGAAAUCAGCAGACAUCUGGGCUGGAAGGAUGUUGGUUUGCAGGCAGCAAGCUGGGCUAAAAUACCCACAGGUAUAAGUAAUAAAACCUGUGUUAUGUUUAGAAGAACAGUGUUAAAAGUUACCAGCAACAAACCAAGGAACAGGAUCCCUCUUCUCCGUGGUGUUGUCCAGACCUCCUCGGUGGGGUACCUGCACCCUGGCAGGUUUGGGUUUUGUUUCCUUGGCUCAGGCGCAGGCAGGCAGAGGCUGUCGGCUUGAGUGGGUUUGCAGAGGAGACUGAUGUCGGGCUCUGGGAGAGGCCAUGGGAUGGUUCUGCUUUGAGUUCGUUUCCUCCUGCUGAAAUACUUGAUUUCUCCCCUUUCUUCCAAGAUCAGUAGAUGUAGCAGCUGGAGGGAUCUUCUGUAGGUGUUUCUACCUGGUCUUAAAUAAAAUUAAAGAAGAGGCAACAGCAAAUACAAUUCAAUUAGAUGCAAGACAGACACUUUUUUAGUGAUGCUGACCAAGCACUGGAAGAGGCACCUGGAGAUGUGAGGGAAUCUCCAUCCUUGGAGAGUUUUAAAAUUCAUCUGAAGAAGGCCUUGAGCGGCCAGACCAUCCUUGAAGUCAGUGACUUUCUACAGGAGCACAGUGAAGCUUUUCCUUACUUUCCUUGUCUGCCACCACCUCGCCUUCCGUGGAGGAGAUCGGGGUUUGGAAGGUGAUUUAGAGCUGCAGAGAGCGCUGCGAAGGCAUAACUGUGCUAAAGCCACUCGUGGGAAGCCACCUCCGCUGCAAUGCAGAUUUUGGGCUCUUGUGUGGGCAGGAUCUGCCACUCAGCACCUCCACGCGCUCGCCAUCCACCUCGCACGUCAGCGGCACAGUCCUUCCCUUGCUGGCGAGGACGAAUGAAGUCCGUGGCCAAAGCUGCGCACUUAGAGCUGAGCACUUGCUCAGGUGUGUUUUCCUCUUCGGGAACAAGAUGCCUUCUAGAUGCCUUUAUUCAGUGCCCAGGCUUGUUGGUGCUGGUUUCUUGACCAAGGCCAGACUAAACCAGAGAAGAGGAGCCGAUGACCUGCGGCUGCCUGCAGCACAAACCCGGCGGCAAACGUGCCUGAGCUAUCGAAGAAUUCUCCAUGGCAAGUCUACGGGCAGGAACUUUUCCAACCGCUGAGCCUUCCUCUCCCUGGGUGCUGCUAUUUCCAUGCUAAGCUGUACAGUUAUAGAUUUUAAGAUAAGUGAAGCUGUGGAACGGGGGGACGAUGAAGCGGGCUCUGUAUGCUCACCUGGGGGAAAGCCGGCAGCGGGCAAGGAGAAUGGACUUUUGCUCAGAUGAAGUCAACUAGACAUUACCCUGGAAAUCAGCAUCUCCCUCAGUCGCCUUUGUUACAAACGCAGCAAAACGGAAAGGCUGCCUCAUUCCAGUGCCAUUGAAGCAUUUUUUUUUUUUUUGCUGUAAGGUAACUGUACUGACUUCAGUGGAAUUACUUCUGAUUUAUACCUUGGGAAGUGAGAGAGGAGCCAGACACCCCGGGUAAUUCUGCUCUAUCAUUGCCUGUACCCAUUAA
Aquila chrysaetos chrysaetos is the source of this 2928-nucleotide long non-coding RNA. RefSeq lists it as uncharacterized. Lineage: Eukaryota; Metazoa; Chordata; Aves; Accipitriformes; Accipitridae. The transcript has 4 exons. The record is from RefSeq and is a predicted model, not a curated record.